UUGGUAUCCUAGUGAGUGACGCUCGAAUCAGUUUUGUUCUUUUAUUUUCAUUUUGGGGCUGCCAUUUAUUUCCCUCAUGCAAAGCUCUGCUACAAAAGUGUAUCAGAAUCGCCUCAACUCCAAAGAGAAGAUAAAGAGAAGCUUCAAAAGGAAAAGACCACCACAGGCAUAUCCCCUCCUCCUCCUCCUCCUCCUCCUCCUCAAGCACCACCACCGGAUCCCCAUAUAAGAAUUACCUCCACACACUCUCCCCCUCCCCCCCCCCCACCUCUCAACCCACCACCACCACACCUUUCUUCCGUUUCCUCCGCCACCUGUUUGCUCCGAGGACAGGAAAGGGAGUGGAGGAGGAGGAACAAGUGAAGCAGGAAUACAAGAAAGAGAAGAGGAUGCGCAGUGGUAGGUCCAUGAGGGCCUUCCUCACUGGCCUCGCAUGCCUCUUGUGUCUCGGCCUCUUCAUCUCUGUCUCCGUAGUCGGUAGAGGAGCAAAUGCUACACCGCCGCCACCAAUACCAGUGACUGCUGCUGUCGUGGCUUCGUCAAGAGGUAAUAGGCCAACAGGGGACAGCAGCUUCGACCCUUUCCAUGCUAGUAAAAGAAGGGUGCCCAAUGGCCCUGAUCCCAUUCACAACAGGAGAGCAGGGAGGUUCGGGCGGCCGCCUGUGCGAGCGUAGCGGAGCGAGCGAGCGAGCGAGAGAGACAGAGAGAGGAGGAGUUCAGCUUGGGCGGUGGAUUAUUCUCAGCUUGCAUGUAACCACGAAAUGGGCCAUCUUUAAACACUCCUAAGACAUUAGCCGUAAUAUCCACGCUUUGCCAAAGUGCUCUGCUUUAUGAAUUGUUCUUGGUGGUGGUGGGGGAGUGUGUAAAGAGCGAGUCCCAUUCCCGUCUUCCCUCGCAAUUCAAACAUUCUUCUUCGGCAGCAGUGGAUUAUCUACCAUGGAAAGAUGAGGAGGAGAUGGAACAGAGACCGAUAAAUGUUGUUGGAGUUGUGUGAAAACUAAGCCACAUCCUUGUCAUGUAUUGGUUUCUUUUGUCAUUGUUGCACUGUAAGUAAAGCAAUCCGACCAGUUAAAGACACUUUAAUCUCUCA
Long non-coding RNA from Musa acuminata AAA Group (dessert banana), 1090 nucleotides. RefSeq lists it as uncharacterized. The record is from RefSeq and is a predicted model, not a curated record. The transcript is spliced from 2 exons. NCBI's taxonomy places the organism in Eukaryota, Viridiplantae, Streptophyta, Magnoliopsida, Zingiberales, Musaceae.